Long non-coding RNA from Neopelma chrysocephalum (saffron-crested tyrant-manakin), 852 nucleotides. RefSeq lists it as uncharacterized. The transcript is spliced from 3 exons. Lineage: Eukaryota; Metazoa; Chordata; Aves; Passeriformes; Pipridae. The record is from RefSeq and is a predicted model, not a curated record.
CAGCUGUGUGGUGCCAGCUGGCAGGGCAGAGCCCCUGCAAUGACUGGAGUGCCUGGUGUCAGGGUACUGGUCUUAUGUCAGCUCUGGGGUUUGUGUGACGUAGCAUCCUCCCUAGUUGUGAUGGACUGAAACGUUGGUAAUGUCUUAAACAUUGUCAAAAUCACAGAAAGACUUUUUGUCAAACUACAAGGAAGCCACUGCCUGUCUGGGACCACCGAAGCCUGACUGGAAUUUGGACUGUGACUGGGGACUUGAGAUAAGACUAUUGUCUAAUCAUCUCACGUCUGAGGAGAAGUAAACAAGGCUCAGGAAAGAAGAAUGUAUCUGUGUUAAGAAUCAGCCCCAGCUGGGCUCAGGGGGUGGUGGAGGAGAAAGGUUUUGGGUUUGUGAUGGUGAAAUCUUCCACACCAAAUUGAAGGAGUAACACCCUGGCCCCCGAGAACACCACGUACACACAGGACAUUUGUGUGAGAGGCAGCUGAGAAGGGUCAUAAACCACCAAAGACCCCCAAAGCGCCCCCAGACUCAUUCCUGAGGUCUUCCACUACCAGAGCACUGCAUGUGAUCCAACUGAUCCAACAAAUCCAGAGUCUGUUACAAGAGACUGGAAAGCUUCCCCCCUCUGCUCCAUGGGAGGUGCCCGGGCAUCUCCUGAAUGCAUAUUAAUCCAUUGGAUUCUGUGUUUUUUAGGAAACCCUCACCACCAAGGAGACCAGAAGAACCUGACCGAAGGGAUGCAGCCAGUGGUUACCCCAAUUGUUAUUUCAGUAUAAAUACCAAUAUUUGUUGGGCUUCGUAGAGGAAGGGUAAUGGAAGAAUUAAGGUAUAAUUUCCACAAAAUAUACUCCUUUG